This 322-nucleotide long non-coding RNA is filed under the name Mytilus galloprovincialis (Mediterranean mussel). The record is from RNAcentral. Lineage: Eukaryota; Metazoa; Mollusca; Bivalvia; Mytilida; Mytilidae.
AGAUUUUCUAGAGGAACUACAUAUUCAUGAUAUUGAGUUACAUAACAGACAUAGAGCUAUCACAGUCACAUAUAAUGUCUUGGAAGCAGCAUUUUAUAAGAUAUCAAUAAGACAGUGGACAUACUACCCUUUUGGAUGAAUUAAAGCCUGAAGAAGUGUUGAUCUGACAUUAAGGACUGGACCAUACAAUUUUUGCCCUAAUCCUUCAAGUGGUUUGUUUAGAAGGGACUGCAUUGGCUUGUGUGUGUCUGCAUCUUUAAAGGAAAAGACUUGAUUGACUAUUUGUAAAAACAAAAAUUUUAUAGAAUUAUAAACAUGAUAA